RNAcentral lists this ribosomal RNA (313 nucleotides) under uncultured bacterium. RNAcentral describes it as "bacterial SSU rRNA". It matches the Rfam family "Bacterial small subunit ribosomal RNA", at positions 30 to 334 of the family's 1533-position model. The record is from RNAcentral.
AUUGAACGCUAGCGGGAUGCCUUACACAUGCAAGUCGAACGGCAGCAUAAGAGAGCUUGCUCUCUUGAUGGCGAGUGGCGAACGGGUGAGUAAUGUAUCGGAACGUGCCCAGAGUGGGGGACAACAGUUGGAAACGACUGCUAAUACCGCAUAAGCCCACGGAACCGCAUGGUUCAGAGGGAAAAGGAGCAAUUCGCUCUGGGAUGGACUCGCGUCCGAUUAGCUGGAUGGUGAGGUAACGGCCCACCAUGGCGACGAUCGGUAGCCGGACUGAGAGGUUGAUCGGCCACAUUGGGACUGAGACACGGCCCAG